This 294-nucleotide unclassified non-coding RNA is filed under the name Hevea brasiliensis (rubber tree). Lineage: Eukaryota; Viridiplantae; Streptophyta; Magnoliopsida; Malpighiales; Euphorbiaceae. The record is from RNAcentral.
UCGGUCCCGUUCGGCAUUACGACCCCCGACCAGCCCAACAUCUCCUCGACCCGCUGGCGCACGGUCGCUGACCACAAGCGCAAGCUAUACUUCUUCGAGUCGGCAUUGACGCCGAAUACGUUCUGGGUCGAUCUCAAGACAAUCGACUUCUCCACGGAAACCGGCAAGGUCAAGAGACUCGAUCUGGGGCCGAACCAAACCAAUGUGUUUGCUGGCGAAACCAGCAAGGACUUCAUAGUGGCGGAGCCAUUCAAGUUCCUGGGCCUGUGAUCGCUGCUGGGAUCGCGCUGCUCA